GUAGGGUGCAAGCGUUGUUCGGAAUUAUUGGGCGUAAAGCGUGCGUAGGCGGAUUAGAAAGUCGGGUGUGAAAGCCCACAGCUUAACUGUGGAAUUGCGCUCGAAACUCCCAAUCUUGAGGACGGUAGAGGCAGGUGGAAUUCCUGGUGUAGAGGUGAAAUUCGUAGAUAUCAGGAGGAACACUCGUGGCGAAGGCGGCCUGCUGGACCGUUCCUGACGCUGAGGUACGAAAGCGUGGGGAGCAAACAGGAUUAGAUACCCUGGUAGUCCACGCCGUAAACGAUGAGUACUAGGCGUUGGAGGUAUUGACCCCUUCAGUGCCCGGCGCUAACGCAAUAAGUACUCCGCCUGGGAAGUACGGUCGCAAGAUUA
Molecule: ribosomal RNA, 372 nt
Filed under: uncultured organism
Description: partial 16S ribosomal RNA
Rfam family: Bacterial small subunit ribosomal RNA
Source: RNAcentral